RNAcentral lists this ribosomal RNA (327 nucleotides) under uncultured eukaryote. RNAcentral describes it as "partial 18S ribosomal RNA". It matches the Rfam family "Eukaryotic small subunit ribosomal RNA", at positions 1470 to 1796 of the family's 1831-position model. The record is from RNAcentral.
CCCUUAGAUGUUCUGGGCCGCACACGCGCUACGCUGAAGGAGGCAGCGUGUACUCCUGGAUCGAAAGAUUUGGGUAACCCGCGAAUCUCCUUCGUGCUAGGGAUUGAGGUUUGCAAUUAUCCUUCAUGAACGAGGAAUUCCCAGUAAGUGCAAGUCAUAAGCUUGCGCUGACUACGUCCCUGCCCUUUGUACACACCGCCCGUCGCUACUACCGAUUGAAUGAUUUAGUGAGGACUUCGGACUGGGACCGAUGCGGCUUUCGGGCUGCGUCGGUAUUCUGGAAAGAUGUCCAAACUGUAUCAUUUAGAGGAAGUAAAAGUCGUAACA